UUUAAUAAAAUAUAAAAAUAGAAAUCUUAAUUAAAUCCUAUUAAAAUCCUAACUAAAUUCUAAAUAAAUCUUAGUCAAACCUUAACCAAAUCCUAAUCAAAUUUUAGUCAAAUCUUAACAAAAUCCUAACCAAAUCCUAACCAAAUUCUAACCAAAUCCUAGUCAAAUCCUUAUAAAUCUUAAUCAAAUCCUAAUAAAUCAUAAUGAAAUCCUAAUGAAAUCUUAAACAAACCUUAAUCAAAUCUUAGUCAAGCCCUAAAUAAUUCUUAAGCAAAUCUUAAUCAAAUCCUCAAUAAAACCUAAUCUAAGCUUAACUAAAUCCUAAUCAAAUCCUAGUCAAAUCUUAACUAAAUCUUAAUCAAAUACUAAUAAAAUCCUAAUCAAAUCCUAACCAAAUCCUAACCAAAUUCUAACCAAAUCCUAACCAAAUCCUAACCAAAUCCUAAUCAAAUUCUAAUCAAUUAUAAAUAAAUCCUAAAUAAAUCCUAAUCAAAUCUUAAUCAAAUCUUAGUCAAAUCCUAACCAAAUCCUAACCAAAUCCUAACUAAAUCCUAACCAAGCCCUAACCAAAUUCUAACUAAGUCUUAACCAAAUCCUAGUCAAAUCUUAACCAAAUCCUAAUCAGAUCUAAAUAAAUCUUAGACAAAUCCUAAACAAAUUCUAACCAAAUCCUAGUAAAAUUCUAAUAAAUCCUAAUCAAAUACUAAUCAAAUCUUAAAAAAAAAUUAAUCAAAUCCUAAUCAAAUCUUAAACAAAUCCUAAUCAAAUUCUAAUCAAAUCCUAAAUAAAUCCUAAUCAAAUCCUAACCAAAUUCUAAUCAAUCCAAAAUAAAUCUUAAUCAAACCUUAAACAAAUUCUAGCCAAAUCCUAAUCAGAUCCUAACAAAUCCUAACCAAAUCCUAAAAAAACCUAAAUAAAUCUUAACCAAAUCCUAAUCAAAUCCUAAACAUAUUCUAACAAAAUCCUAAAUAAUUCAAGUAAUU
This 983-nucleotide long non-coding RNA is filed under the name Physcomitrium patens. Its description in RNAcentral is "long non-coding RNA (PPAT_LNC009556)". The record is from RNAcentral. Lineage: Eukaryota; Viridiplantae; Streptophyta; Bryopsida; Funariales; Funariaceae.